Molecule: long non-coding RNA, 533 nt
Organism: Cyprinus carpio carpio
Lineage: Eukaryota; Metazoa; Chordata; Actinopteri; Cypriniformes; Cyprinidae
Source: Ensembl
AGCCGCCAAAGCCUUGUCUGAUUAUUUGUCCCAUCUUGUCCAGAUCCUGGAAAUCCCCACCAGUCCUGUCUUGUCCCCUGACCCUGUCCCCAGAGAUCCCGAGCCAACCACAGUUAGUGCUACUCCUGACCCAGUUUCUGUCUCCCCUGAUCUUGCCCCGUGUCCUGUGAACGUUGCCCCGUGUCCAGCUGAUGUUGUCAUGUGUCCCGUAGGUGUUUCCCCGUGUCCCGUAGAUGUUUCCCCGUGUCACGUGAGUUCUCCUGUCAUGUCCUCUGUUGUAAAUGGUCCUGAGACCACUCCCCACCCUAGACCACCCAGACCUGCCCGAACCCCUCGUUGUCAGCCUUCGUCCCGUCCUCCUAAGACUCCUACCCCACCCACCCACCCUGGUCUGUCCCCCAUGAACUUUGUGGUCCCGCCUCCUCCCCUGCCCUGUUUGUUUUUCUUGAUAUGCCACCCUAACCCUAUUGUUGUGUUUUCAUGUUUGCCCUUAUUACUAUUUGUCAUGUCGUAUUGGUUUUUGUCUCUGUCCC